ACUCCUUCUAAAGCUAAUAUCACCACGAGACCGAUAGCGAACAAGUACCGUGAGGGAAAGUUGAAAAGCACUCUGAAUAGAGAGUCAAAAAGUACGUGAAACUGCCUAGGGCUCAAACCCGUUGAACUCGAUUAUCCGGGCGGGGACAUUCACCUGCGGCUUCGCCGCCGCAGGGCACUUGUCCCCGUCGUGCUCCCCGUGGGCCACCAGAAGGACAUUGCGAUCCAUUACGAAACAGCUUUGGCGUCGCGAGACGCAAGGUCGCCCGACACGUUGCCCCUUGGUGCCGGUUGCUUGCCCCACAGUAGCGACGCUCAGUUCCGAAGGCCUGUGCCGCGAGCUGGGGCUUACUGCACGCGGUGUGUUGCAGUCGGGCGCGUGAUGGAUUCCCCCGUACACCCCGGGCGGUGGCCAAUGGUCCCGCCGCCGGGACUGUCGAU
RNAcentral lists this ribosomal RNA (440 nucleotides) under Aedes atropalpus (rock-pool mosquito). RNAcentral describes it as "partial 28S ribosomal RNA". It matches the Rfam family "Eukaryotic large subunit ribosomal RNA", at positions 303 to 614 of the family's 3401-position model. The record is from RNAcentral. Lineage: Eukaryota; Metazoa; Arthropoda; Insecta; Diptera; Culicidae.